UAGCUUAUGGUUAAAUGCCAUAGAAUCUUAUAGAUUUAGAUAUAUAUCGGUUAUGGAUGAGCUUGCGGGGUAUUAGGUAGUUGGUGUGGUAAUGGCGCACCAAGCCCAAGAUGCCUAGCCGGUUUGAGAGAACGAUCGGCCACACUGGGACUGAGACACGGCCCAGACGCUUACGAGCGGCAGCAGUGGGGAAUAUUGGACAAUGGGCGAAAGCCUGAUCCAGUGAUAUCGCUUUGGGGAUGACGGCGACAUACGUUGUAAACCCAAUGAAGUACGUUUAGAUUAUGACCGUACGUAUUUUAGAAGUCCCGGCUA
This 315-nucleotide ribosomal RNA is filed under the name uncultured Alphaproteobacteria bacterium. Its description in RNAcentral is "bacterial SSU rRNA". It matches the Rfam family "Bacterial small subunit ribosomal RNA", at positions 154 to 499 of the family's 1533-position model. Lineage: Bacteria; Pseudomonadati; Pseudomonadota; Alphaproteobacteria. The record is from RNAcentral.